Molecule: long non-coding RNA, 563 nt
Organism: Hylaeus anthracinus
Lineage: Eukaryota; Metazoa; Arthropoda; Insecta; Hymenoptera; Colletidae
Exons: 2
Source: RefSeq, a predicted model, not a curated record
UAUGUUUUAAUGGUACUUCUAUGGUUGCAACGCAACUAGUAUUACAGAACAUAAGGAAAACAUAUAGUAUUCAAUGAAAUACUUGGACAAAUGGCAAAAAUAUUAAAUAAAGAAAUGCACUUACAUUCUCGCAGGAUUAAUCUGGAAAUAUGUUUAAGCGUUUGUCUAGACAUCGAUGGGAAAAUUACAGCAAUAAAUUUAUGGAGUCAACAAAUUGAACAGAUACAGUCAAGAAAUUAUCCAUACAAGAAAAUCAUUGAAUUACAUACGUUUGUCUUGUAAUUUAUAGACCCUAAAAAGAAUGUAAUGCCAUCAUACUUUAUAAAUCAUAAUAUAUCAGAACAGUGACUAAUCAAUGGUUUACAGAAGCAGUUGAAGGUUCUACAAAAUAUCAAUGCAAAGCAAGCAAUAAAAUAAAGACAAUUAGAACAAAACAACUAGAAUAAAGCGUACAAUAGACAAAAUAUUUGUGCUCAAUGAAGAAACAAUUGUGGUAUAUCGAACAGAUUAUUGCGACAAAUGUACUACCCUCAGUCAAAUAAGAUUUUUACUUUGUAAACAGA